CUAUACAUGACUCUGCGCAUAUCAAUAAGCGGAGGAAAAGAAACUAACAAGGAUUCCCUAGUAACGGCGAGUGAAGCGGGAAGAGCUCAAAUUUGAAAUCUUCAAGGUUCUACCUUGACGAAUUGUAGUUUAUAGAAGUGUUUUCUGUUAGUAGAGUGGCAAAAGUUCUUUGGAAUAGGACAUCAUAGAGGGUGAGAAUCCCGUAUUUGGUCAUUCUCUUCCUAGCUUUGUGAUACGCUUUCAACGAGUCGGAUUGUUUGGGAAUGCAGUCCAAAAUGGGUGGUAAAUUUCAUCUAAAGCUAAAUAUUGGCGAGAGACCGAUAGCGAACAAGUACCGUGAGGGAAAGAUGAAAAGAACUUUGAAAAGAGAGUUAAACAGUACGUGAAAUUGUCAAAAGGGAAGCGUUUGACACCAGUGUUGUUUCUCCGAAAAUCAAUUACGAAUGUUUUAUUUUUGAGAAGUUAUGACUUCAUCGGCUUGCUUCUCUCUUUAUGAAACUUUCUUAAUGCACUUUUCGGUUAACAAGUCAACAUCAAUUUCUUUUGUUGUAAAAGGGUAUGAGGAAGGUGGCUUUCUUUUCGGAGAAAGUGUUUAUAGCCUUGUACCUCUGCAAUCGGAGAGAUUGAGGUCUGCAGCGUAGAUCCUUCGGGGUUAGAUACAUUUGUGCUAAGUUAUAGCUUUUCAUAGACAACUUGUUGACUAUGUUUAGUCUUGUAGCUUACUCGCUUAUGUUAUUUUACCUACGCUUAGGAUGUUGAUAGUCACAGCGUGUAC
This 775-nucleotide ribosomal RNA is filed under the name uncultured Neocallimastigales. Its description in RNAcentral is "partial large subunit ribosomal RNA". It matches the Rfam family "Eukaryotic large subunit ribosomal RNA", at positions 22 to 642 of the family's 3401-position model. The record is from RNAcentral. Lineage: Eukaryota; Fungi; Neocallimastigomycota; Neocallimastigomycetes; Neocallimastigales.